This 4066-nucleotide long non-coding RNA is filed under the name Octopus vulgaris (common octopus). Lineage: Eukaryota; Metazoa; Mollusca; Cephalopoda; Octopoda; Octopodidae. The record is from RNAcentral.
UUGUGGGAUUGUUGUCGUAUGCUUUUCAAUGGCGACGGUCUCUGUUUUUUUAUUGAAUUUUCGUCUUUGAAUGUUUUUCCUGCAGCUAACAAUUAUGAAAGAAGUAGGUAAGAAAUUAUUAUUAUUGUUAUUGUUAAUAUCUAGAAAAAAUAAGUGAGAGUAGUUGGUGACGAUGUAAAGAGAAAAGCUGAAGGAAGUCUGUUGUGACGGAAGGCCGCUCGGUUUUCAUUUUAUUUAGUGGCAAAAUGUAUAAAAAGUUUGGAGUUGAGGUUCAUAAUUAAGAUGUUGGUUAAAACGAAAGAUUAUCUUUCGUUUCUAGUAGACCUUUCCGUCGAUUUCCGUAAAAAACUUUUAUUUUUUUUUACAUAUGGGUUUGCGGGAACUUUUGAAGUAAUGAGAGCGAAAGAGACUAAGAGAAAGCGAUUGUAUGAGGAGGGAAUUUCUUUUUGAAGUUACCGCGAAUGGGAAGCUUUGAUGUACAUGUGUGUGUGUGUGUGUGUGUGUGUGUGUGUUUGAUGGGGUGUGCGAGACAGAAAGUAUGUUGUGUAAGUGAAGUGCUUCUGUUAGUGUGUGUGAAGAGACAGAGAGAGAUAACUGAAAUUUUUUACUCGGUGUAUGUGUAUAUGUAUGUAUGCAUGUAUGUGUGUGUGUGUGUGUGUGUGUGUGUAUGUAUCUAUCUAUGUAUGUGUGUGUGUGUGUGUAUGUAUGUAUGGCCGAUUCAGUGUUUACAUUAUUUCGAGUUAAAACGAGAGAUUACCUUUGCCUGUUUAUGUAACGGUCUGCUAUGUAGAAAACAAUGAGGUUGACUCAAUGGAAUAAUGACAGUGAUCGAAGAUAUAGACACAUUUUUUUUUAUUUAAUCGUUAUACAUGCCUUGUCGACUGCUAUUGUGCAGCCUUAAUGUCUCUGUUGAUGUGACGAUGGUGAUAUGGUAAGAAAAAGACGGGAGAGUUAUAAAAUGAGGAGGAGAUAUUCUUCUCAUGAGAAAAGAGUUGCAUGCAAAGGAAAAAAAAAGUUAAGUCUAUAGAUGUGCACAGAAACUGGGUGCAAGCAUGCAUAUAUAUGCAUGUAACAUGAGACAUGUAAAAGUUUCCAUUUGCAUAAUACUUGGCUGCUUGUCACUUCAAAUAAAGAGUAUUGAACUGAUAUUAAAGCCAAAAUUUUCCUUUCGCUACUAUUAGGAAGUUUUUCAUUUUUACUUUCAGAGUUAAAAAAUGAAUGAUUACACUUAUUUGUUUACAUGCGAACUUUUGUUUAUUUUAUAUCCUUCUAUAUGUUGGAUAUGCAAAUUUCACGAAGCGGGGAUAGACACAACUGUCUUCACACAACCCACUUCAGAUUACUCUACUAAACACAAUACUUCUAAUAAAUAUAAACUCUGAACAAUGUCAACAACUUCCAUGAACUCCCAAUGACUCUCUUUGUCUCAACCAAUAUGCUAAUUUUUUUAUAAGAGUUUUGCUAGUCCAUUCUUCCAAUCCCAUAGGGGUGCCAAUGACUCUCACUACAACAGUUUAUACAUGUAGACUUUUCUUUAUACAUGUAGAUUUUACCAAGCAAGUAGCCCAUGCGAAGCUUCACCUAUAUGUAAGUACAUAAUUUUUUUGUUAAAUUAAGUUUUCUGUUAGUUAACCAUAGCUGUUUGUAAAUUGAACAACUGUUUCUCUGUGUAUAUUGAACAAUUUCCAUAAGACAUAUAUGUUUGCAAAUUUAAAAUAUGUUUGUUUCCCAAUGCCAUGGUUUAGGGUCUAGUUCUACUGUGUGGCAUUUUGGGCAAGAGUCUUCGACUAUAGGUAGGGACCAACAAAUGCAUUUUUAGUGAAAGUGGUUGAUGGGAACUAUAUGAAGCUUAUUGCAUGUGUGUGUAUACACCAUAUCAAUUAUGUGAUGCAUGUUAUAGGUAACUGUUGACAAAAAGUGCAAAAUACUCAUUGAAAAAUCAAAAUAAUUUAGGUAAUGUCAAGAAGGGAUGUGGAAUGGAUAGUGAAAGGUCUGGCUUGGAAGGUGUCCCACAGUAUUGCUGCCUGGGCCUAUGUGUCAUCUUGCUACUGCAAGAGAGUACAGACCAUUGAAUGUUUGUGAAAUAUUGGCAUCUAAGAUUAUGAACUCUUUGGAUUUACUGAUUACCUUGAUGUCAGUGAGAUUGCCAUUGUCAAACAAGAGAUUUGUUACCUUAGUAAGUGUCUACCCUCCAACCAUGUGUUCCUCUGAAGAGAAAAAAAGGACUAAUAUUUUAUCUUUCAUGAAAAAAGCUUCUGUGCAGUAUUCUUUCUGCUUAUAAAAUCUUCAUACUUGGUGAUUUCAGAGAUAAAAAAAAUUGGGAUAUAAUUGGGAAACAUGAAGCCAGAAAAUGCAAUAGUAAUGGCUUGUUUAGUACUGCAAAUGUGUUCGAUUUUUGCAUAUACUGGGUAACUGUCAAUCUCCUAGUGUGGAGCAUGCUGUAUUUGAGCACCAAAUAUGUGGGAGUAUUUAUGUGAUCAAGAUGAAAGGCAAUUAGGUCUCAUUAAUUUCUGUUUGGUGAGUUGGCCCUGAGGAAAAAUCUAGGGAACAAAUUGAAAUUAAGGCAUGAAUGCAUUAGAGACACUUAGAGGAUCUAGAUCAAAUUAGAGACAGUGAAAACAUCACUAAGUUUUUGAUGGAAAAAAUUGUUUCAUGUUGGAAUGAGUGAAUUUGAAUGAAUGUCAAUAAAAUCUUAGUGUGCAUGAAAAGCUUGAGAGAGAUUUUUGAAAAGGUCUUAAUAUUAAUGUUUCCAUUGUGUUUUGCUUCAAAAACUACAUAGACAUGACAGAAUUAAAUAGACAUCCUUAUAAUUGUUAAAAUUUAUUUAAAUUAUUUAUUAAUUAUUAUAAUGUGAAUAUCUAAUAUUUAGUAGACAGGCUCCUUGCAUUUUUGAAUGCAAGGACCCUAGCAGGCAUGCUACUGAUCUGAUGAAUAUUCUCUUCAUGAUUUUCUUGCCAAGUUUCUUGCAGUAAUAUCAAAAGAUCUGGCUUUAAGGAUGCUUUCUUUUUCUUUUUAGGAAGUAUCCCAUCCAUCAUGCCUCAGAUGUGUUCAGUAGGGUUCAUAUCUGGUGAUUGGCUUAGCUAUGGAAGCUUUUUAAUGCCAUUCUCUUCCAACCAAUCCUGGGUCUUUUAGUUGUGCAAGAAAGCCCUAUCUUCCAUAAAUAGUGUUAUUUAAUCAUUUUACUCCUGGAGGUUAUAGGAAGAAGAUUUUUCUAUAAUAUGGACACAUAUUUAUCUGAGUUUAUGUAUCCCUCACAUUCCACCAUUUCUGAUUGACUAUUGCUCCAAACUGCUCUCUAGACCAUCACAUGUUUCAUUGUUGGCUGCAAUAUAUUCACGUGAAAAUAUUGGUGACUGAUUCUCCAGACCCACAUUCGAUCAGUGUCAGAAAAUACAGCAAAUCUGGAUUCAUCAGAGGAUUUGACUGUGUCCCAAAGUGCUAGUGACCUCUCUACCAUUUCACUUGUCCAAUCUUUUCUCCAUUUGAUAUUGGCUGGUCGAAGCAGUGUCUUCUUUCUUGCUGCUCUGCCAUAAUAGCCAAUUUUGCGGAGAUAACUGACAGCUAUUCUGGGACUGACAUCAACUUAUUCUGCUAUAUUGGAGGCCUUGCAAUGAGGAUUAUCUUACACACUUCUCUUAAGAAAGCAAAGUGUUGUCAGAGGGCCUUAGUCUACCUGGGUAAGGUGAUAUGGACUACUUUCCCGUUUAGUGAAUUGAAAAAUUACUCUAUUUACUGUAGAAAGUAGAAUCACAAUGUUUUCUGUGGUUUUAGGCUAAGUCAGCCUUGAAAUAGGUGCAGCAUAUGGCCUCUUUGUAAAUUGGACAUUUUUAAGGCUUCUUUUGUACAUGGCAUGAUUAAACAGUUACAUAUAGAACCUGAAACAUAUAAAUGUCAAUUAAUAAAAAAAAUAUAAACCUCUUCAAGUUAUAAUAACAAUGUGUUAAUGGGUAUCUAUUUACUUUUGUCAUGUUUGUGUACAAAUGUAUCAUUUGUUACAACUGCACUUUGAAAGAAAAAGAAAACCUUUAGUAGAAAAUUAGCAUUAGCUACGACAACGUUACCCAAC